GCACCGGGGAGGUGGGGUCUUACCAGGAUCAAUAGGCAGGCAGUCACUUUCUUUUCAUAGGAAUCUUGUCGAUUGGCCUGGCUGCUGCCUACUACAGCGGAGAUAGCCUGGGCUGGAAGCUCUUCUACGUCACAGGCUGCCUGUUUGUGGCUGUGCAGAACUUGGAGGACUGGGAGGAAGCCGUCUUCGACAAGAGCACAGGGAAGGUUGUUUUGAAGACGUUCAGCCUCUACAAGAAGCUGCUGACUCUUUUCAGAGCUGGCCACGACCAGGUGGUGGUCCUGCUGCAUGAUGUCCGUGACGUGAGCGUGGAGGAGGAGAAGGUCCGGUACUUCGGGAAGGGCUACAUGGUGGUGCUCCGGCUCGCAACGGGCUUCUCCCACCCCCUCACGCAGAGCGCGGUCAUGGGCCACCGCAGUGAUGUGGAAGCCAUCGCCAAGCUCAUCACCAGCUUCCUGGAGCUGCACUGC
RNAcentral lists this small RNA (470 nucleotides) under Pongo abelii (Sumatran orangutan). RNAcentral's name for it is "retained intron". Lineage: Eukaryota; Metazoa; Chordata; Mammalia; Primates; Hominidae. The record is from RNAcentral.